UACGAGUUUUAUGCGCUGCUGCACUUAUGAUCGCUAUUAAUAGAUGGCGACACGAGCAAUCAACUACAUACCACCAAGCAUCACUAAACAUGAUUGCAACAAAUAAUUUUCGCUUUGGCUUUCUAGUGUUACAUAUCCCAAUAAUUUUUUUAAACUGAUUACCUGCUUCGGUUAACAGAGGUUCUACUGUAUAGUAUGCCUCAAAUACACUAUUAUCUUAAAUAUCCGUAUAUAAUCCGGGAUUCAGAUUCGAGCCCAUGGUAUAUGCUGUGAAUUCUGCUUAUUACCACAAAGUCGAGGUGGCAUAUAUUGUGGAAAAUGGAAAGAUUAAGCUAUAGACUUCCUAAAUUAAAAAAUGCAAUAAAAUGGUACCCUGUCAAAGCAACGUAAACCGUUCUAUGGUGACGUUCAUUACAAGAAUCGUUCAUUCGUGUUUAGUUUGAAUCUUCACAGUUUACCACUGAAGGCAGAAGACUCAACUUCCUUCGUUCUGGUGCUAAUUUAUCAUUGUUCUGGGGAGAAUCAAGAAUCGAAUAGUUCAGAAGCGAGUGGGAUGGUUUGGUUUGUUUGAUUACGAGUCUAAGGAGAAGGAUGAGUUUGUGAAAGACACUCUAAAGAAAAAAUGUCUCGUUUUCACGUUACACAUGGGGAAAACAUUGAAAACGCCCAUGCAGCCUGCCUAUUCUCCUGAAACCGGACCCACAGAUUCAAGCGAAAAUGCGAUUUCCUAAUAAUCCCAAAUUGCGCUCUUAAUGGAUUAAAGCUGUAAGAAGAAAAAAAUUUACGCCUACAAAGUAUUCGAAGCUAUGUUCAAAACAUUUUUCAGAAGAUGCAUUUGAAAAAGGAGGACCAAGAUACAGAAUUUAUUAAAAGUAUUUACAUGUAUAUAAAAUUACAAGGUUACUUUAGACGCAUUAAUAAAAUUUAAGAUUGCACAUAUAA
Molecule: long non-coding RNA, 942 nt
Organism: Stegodyphus dumicola
Lineage: Eukaryota; Metazoa; Arthropoda; Arachnida; Araneae; Eresidae
Source: RefSeq, a predicted model, not a curated record